Molecule: long non-coding RNA, 500 nt
Organism: Canis lupus familiaris (dog)
Lineage: Eukaryota; Metazoa; Chordata; Mammalia; Carnivora; Canidae
Exons: 5
Source: RefSeq, a predicted model, not a curated record
GGAUGAAGGAUGGAUCCCAGGACGGGGGACCUGGGGAAAAUAAGAGCAGCAUGUCCUGGCCGUCAUAAAAGCUACUCUGGAAAUUCUUCAAUGGCCCAGCAUUCCACCUAUUUUAUAUACUCUGUGUCCCACAAAAAUCCAGUGAGUACUGAGGAGAUGGCCUGCUGCAUGCCCCCAAACCCUCUAAACUAUGACUCUUGUUAAUGAACUGCGAAAAUGUGCGGUGCAUUGCACCAGACACCACACACACCACCUGAGCCUCAGCAUUACCCUCCGAGACCCAAUUCCUAAUAUUCCCAUUGGACGUGGUAUGAAGACUGCUGCUUCAUCUCAACUCUAGGACAGCAAAGAUUUGUUUUCCUCUUCUACCUGGGUCUGGAAGAACUGCAGUCCCCACCUGAUUCUCCCAUUGAAGGAUCCUUCAACAACCACAGAGAAAGCCCUGGUCUUUUCCUGAGCACUUCAAUGGAUCUGAGAUAAAAAUCACUGACAUUCCUUCA